Molecule: ribosomal RNA, 434 nt
Filed under: uncultured Lachnospiraceae bacterium
Lineage: Bacteria; Bacillati; Bacillota; Clostridia; Lachnospirales; Lachnospiraceae
Description: bacterial SSU rRNA
Rfam family: Bacterial small subunit ribosomal RNA
Source: RNAcentral
ACGGGAGGCAGCAGUGGGGAAUACUGCACAAUGGGGGAAACCCUGAUGCAGCGACGCCGCGUGAGCGGUGAAGUAUUUCGGUAUGUAAAGCUCUAUCAGCAGGGAAGAUAAUGACGGUACCUGACUAAGAAGCCCCGGCUAACUACGUGCCAGCAGCCGCGGUAAUACGUAGGGGGCAAGCGUUAUCCGGAUUUACUGGGUGUAAAGGGAGCGCAGGCGGUUUUUUAAGUCUGAUGUGAAAGCCCGUGGCUCAACUGCGGGACUGCAUUGGAAACUGGAGAACUAGAGUGUCGGAGGGGCAAGUGGAAUUCCUAGUGUAGCGGUGAAAUGCGUAGAUAUUAGGAGGAACACCGGUGGCGAAGGCGGCUUACUGGACGAUAACUGACGUUGAGGCUCGAAAGCGAGGGGAGCAAACAGGAUUAGAUACCCUGGUA